RNAcentral lists this ribosomal RNA (516 nucleotides) under uncultured bacterium. RNAcentral's name for it is "partial 16S ribosomal RNA". It matches the Rfam family "Bacterial small subunit ribosomal RNA", at positions 28 to 523 of the family's 1533-position model. The record is from RNAcentral.
GACGAACGCUGGCGGCAUGCCUAAUACAUGCAAGUCGAGCGGAGUUGAUAGAAAGCUUGCUUUCUUGAUACUUAGCGGCGGACGGGUGAGUAACACGUAGGCAACCUGCCCUCAAGCUUGGGACAACUACCGGAAACGGUAGCUAAUACCGAAUACUUGUUUUCUUCGCCUGAAGGAAACUGGAAAGACGGAGCAAUCUGUCACUUGGGGAUGGGCCUGCGGCGCAUUAGCUAGUUGGUGAGGUAACGGCUCACCAAGGCGACGAUGCGUAGCCGACCUGAGAGGGUGAUCGGCCACACUGGGACUGAGACACGGCCCAGACUCCUACGGGAGGCAGCAGUAGGGAAUCUUCCGCAAUGGGCGAAAGCCUGACGGAGCAAUGCCGCGUGAGUGAUGAAGGUUUUCGGAUCGUAAAGCUCUGUUGCCAGGGAAGAACGCUUGGGAGAGUAACUGCUCCCAAGGUGACGGUACCUGAGAAGAAAGCCCCGGCUAACUACGUGCCAGCCGCCGCAGUAA